Molecule: non-coding RNA, 45 nt
Filed under: Schistosoma mansoni
Lineage: Eukaryota; Metazoa; Platyhelminthes; Trematoda; Strigeidida; Schistosomatidae
Source: RNAcentral
AUCCAGAUGACGAGUCCCAAAUAGGACGAAACACGCGUUCUGUAU